Molecule: transfer-messenger RNA, 372 nt
Filed under: Chitinophagaceae
Lineage: Bacteria; Pseudomonadati; Bacteroidota; Chitinophagia; Chitinophagales
Also listed under: 1 other name
Description: Sediminibacterium sp016786865 Standard tmRNA
Rfam family: transfer-messenger RNA
About the family: Bacterial tmRNA, also known as 10Sa RNA or SsrA, is named for its dual tRNA and mRNA-like properties. Its role is to liberate the mRNA from a stalled ribosome.
Source: RNAcentral
GGGGCCGUGUUGGUUUUGACAGCAUAGGUUACGGUUGGUGUAAGCAUGCAGUGCGUUGGAUAAUUAGCACUUUAAUCUGAAUAUUCAACCAUUAUCUGGCAAUACACAGUAUGCCAUGGCUGCCUAAUCAGUGAUUAGACCGUCAUUUGGGCCGCCGCACAGGUUCGCUUCUUUCCAGGUGCCGCCGCCGACUCAAAACAAAAGGAGAUGCUGCAACAAAAGGCUGUGAUUGUUGCCUAAGCUCAUCCAGCUAAGCUGUGGGUUGGUUUGUUUCUUUCCGGCACACAGCCGACAAAUAAUAAGAAAAUAAGCAUGUAGAAAGCUAAUGGUCACGAUGUUUGGACACCGGUUCGAAUCCGGUCGGCUCCACAC